UGAGAUUAAUUAGGACCAAUUUAAGGAGAAAAAUCAAUGAAUAUAACUUUUGUUAAACUUUUUCAUAUACAUAAAAUCCCUGCAACAUAAGCCAUCUAAUGAGUUGAAAAUGUCUUCUAAUACUCAGUCAACUAUCACAAAUAUCAGAUAUCAGAUAUAUAAAUAAAGUCUAACUGAAAUUUAUGAGAAAAAAAAACUUAAGUGAAGAGCUACGUAUGCUUCCAGCUUCAAAAACUAACUACAUUGGCAUAGUGUUCAGAAUUCAGAUAAUCGCAUCUGCAAAACUAUAAAUAAAAAGAGAGUGGAUUACAUAGGAACAAAACUAUGGUUUGCUGAGAUGUGUAAGUUCUAUGUAGUGUUUUUGUCAUCUUUCUUCAUCCCAUUUGUGUUUAGGGAUCUCUCCGGAAUCAGCAACCACAACUUUCUUCCUCGGUUUGCCACUAUUUCGCCUAUAAGUUACCAAACCUUAUGAAUGAAUCUACAUGUUAGCCCUGUUCGUUAGUUGAUCGCAGCGAUUGACAUGAGCGGCUGGAAAUUGUUCAUCAUUUUUUGCUUAACUUGCCGCCAGUGUUAAAACAGAGAACGCAGCGUCAAUUAUUCUGACGGAAUCCGGUGGUAUUUGUGUCGCCAAAUUAAAUAGCGUCACUGUUCCUCCUUUCUCACUCUUGGCUGCGACAUGAAAACAAGGAUUUCUUCCAUUUUUCUUCUUUCUUUCCAUUUAAGUUUUUCUUUUUUGCUUUGUAAAAUCAGUCGCUAGACGCUACCGCGGAACAGGGCUAUUAUCUAGUGUAAUGCUUUGUAAAUGCAACUUGGUAUGGAUCCUAAAGAGUAUAGUUCUUGAUCUCAUUUCCACUCCCUUCUCCGUAAAAAAACUUUUAUAACGUCUGUAAGGCGAGAGAAUGAUGUUUAUCAAUGAGACGAGAGCAUACCAGCUAGCUUUGACAGUAGCGAUAAAGAACUGUGAGCCAUUAGGGUCAGGUCCUGUAUUAGCCAUCGUCAGAGGCGGACCCAGUAAAGGAUUGGGUGUGUCAGUUGACACAGGUUAAAAGAUAAAAUUAAUGUUUUUUACAUAAAGACUGAAGGAGAAUCAUCAGUCUAGAUGUUAAACCCAAGUAAACCCAAGUUCGAUGCUCCAUAUUGCUUUUCUUAUUGUGAUCUUUUUUUAAACAAAAUAUAAUGACACAGGUUAAUUUAAUUGCUGGGUCCGCCACUGGCCAUCGUUACAGCACCUACAAUUCCACAAUUGUUAUUUUGACACAAGAAUCAUCAUCAGAUGAAUCCAUUUGCCACUUAAAAUUCAUCCGUUUAUGAUUCUUUCGAGGUUAAACCAAAAUGAAUAGCACACACGGACACACCAAUAAGCCUCACUCGCAAACUCACAAAGAGAAUUGUGAUAUGCUAAUGGGCCUAAAUCAAAAUUUAACGGGCUUUAUCUCAAACAUAUAUGUAGGGGAUACAUAUGCAUCUGCACGUUAUUUUUAUUGGCGGGAGAGCUAUGGCGAAUAUGGGCGGAGCUGGUUCUCAAAAUCCGAUUCAUCCUCUGUCUUCUUCGUCUCUCUAUCUUCUAGAAGACAACCGUUCGUCGUCCUCGUCGUCACAGAUCAAGCGGAAUCCGAAGAGAAAGCUUGAGGACUACUUGGAUCCAGCUCUUCUUCGUACGAUCUCGUCUACGAUCGGUCGAGCGGAGACGAAGAAGAUGGAGAAGAAGGAUGUCUUCGUGAGUUCGAAUCAGAAAACGGAAUU
Molecule: long non-coding RNA, 1743 nt
Organism: Brassica napus (rape)
Lineage: Eukaryota; Viridiplantae; Streptophyta; Magnoliopsida; Brassicales; Brassicaceae
Exons: 3
Source: RefSeq, a predicted model, not a curated record